Miniopterus natalensis is the source of this 543-nucleotide non-coding RNA. NCBI's taxonomy places the organism in Eukaryota, Metazoa, Chordata, Mammalia, Chiroptera, Miniopteridae. The record is from RefSeq and is a predicted model, not a curated record.
AUUCCUGGAACUGCUGGGUGGAGAACGGAUUGUAGGCUGCCAGAGCGUAUCUGGGAACCCAACACAAGGUUUUUGAACGACGAGAUGGCAGUUCAGACUGGCAGAUGGAGAGCACAGCUCCAAGAAUGUGCAUGACAAUCCUAAAGGGCGACAAUUGUAGCCCAGGACCUGUUUUCCUCUAUGUGCUGUUGCAGUGUUAAAGCGUGGCCACACAUCCCUGACGGCCUCCUGUUUGAUGUGGCCUUAGCACCUGGAAAGAGACUACAAUGGCAGUAAUGCUGUCGCAGCUUCUGGAAUGCCCCCCUCCCCCGCCCCAUCCAGCUGUCACGCUGAGAAGUGAUGCCUUCAAGUCACCUCUAGUCGUCAGCCAUGUGGGCAAAGACUUCAGAGGAUUCAUCCCCAGCUGUUCAGACAGCCUCCAGCCGUUUUCCCAGCGGAGGCCUCAGACAUUGUAGAAUAGAGAAAAACCGCCCCUAUUGUGCCCUGUCCAAAUUCCUGAGCCAUAGGACCCAUGAGUGUAAUAAAAUGCGUAUUGUAUGAAGA